Molecule: ribosomal RNA, 253 nt
Filed under: uncultured bacterium
Lineage: Bacteria
Description: partial 16S ribosomal RNA
Rfam family: Bacterial small subunit ribosomal RNA
Source: RNAcentral
CACGUAGGGCGCGAGCGUUGUCCGGAAUUAUUGGGCGUAAAGAGCUCGUAGGCGGCCUGUUGCGUCCGCUGUGAAAGCCCGGGGCUUAACCCCGGGUCGGCAGUGGAUACGGGCAGGCUAGAGGUAGGUAGGGGAGAAUGGAAUUCCCGGUGUAGCGGUGAAAUGCGCAGAUAUCGGGAGGAACACCGGUGGCGAAGGCGGUUCUCUGGGCCUUACCUGACGCUGAGGAGCGAAAGCGUGGGGAGCGAGCAGG